RNAcentral lists this ribosomal RNA (483 nucleotides) under uncultured bacterium. Its description in RNAcentral is "bacterial SSU rRNA". It matches the Rfam family "Bacterial small subunit ribosomal RNA", at positions 29 to 524 of the family's 1533-position model. The record is from RNAcentral.
AACGAACGCUGGCGGCGCGUCUUAAACAUGCAAGUCGAACGAUCUGUAGCAAUACAGGGAGUGGCGGACGGGUGAGGAACACGUAGGAAUCUACCUUGAAGAGCGGGACAACUUUGGGAAACCGGGGCUAAUACCGCAUAGUACAGAGAUGUUAAAGGGCUAGCAAUAGUCGCUUCGAGAUGAGCCUGCGGUCUAUCAGCUUGUUGGUGAGGUAAUGGCUCACCAAGGCUACGACGGAUAGCCGGUCUGAGAGGAUGGUCGGCCACACUGGCACUGAGACACGGGCCAGACUCCUACGGGAGGCAGCAGUUAAGAAUCUUGCGCAAUGGGGGAAACCCUGACGCAGCGACGCCGCGUGAAGGAUGAAGGCUUUCGGGUUGUAAACUUCGGUAGACUGGGAAGAAGAAAUAACGUUCGUUGAGGGCGUAUAGUGACGGUACCAGUCUGAAGCCCGGCUAAUUACGUGCCAGCAGCCGCGGUAAU